CAGUGGUGACUUCUGUAAGGUGCAGCC
RNAcentral lists this non-coding RNA (27 nucleotides) under Cricetulus griseus (Chinese hamster). The record is from RNAcentral. Lineage: Eukaryota; Metazoa; Chordata; Mammalia; Rodentia; Cricetidae.